CAAACUUUCGCCACCUUCCCAGGCCCAGAGGACUCCCUGAUCUCGGGCCUGUCAGAACUGUGCUGCGGAAUGUGAGGUGUUGGGCUGGGAAGGCCCACGGGUUUCUAAUCAGGCUCUGCACUCUGCCUUCAGCGAUGCAAGUAAAACUUAAAAGUGCUUAGUGACCCAUUUUCGUGUGGGGUCAGAGGCCUGCUGAAGCCCCAGGCGACUUCAGACUGGUCACUUACCUCCCUGGCCUUCCUUUCUCGUGUGCAAAAUGGAGACUAUAACGGACACUCAGCAGCCAGCCAGGGAAAACAGGUCAGAAAAGCUUUAAAUGCCAUGCAAAUAGAGGGUAUUGUAAAGUGUUCUAGCACAUGGCGUGGCCUUCAGAAGUUGUGAGCGUCAUUCGAAAGUGUAUUGGUCAGAACGGGCUAGGUCGUGCUGCGGUAACAAGCAGCCCCCGGAUCUCGAUGAAUCAAAGCAGGGUCAGCCAAUAUUUUCUGUACAUACUUUAGGCAUCGGGGGCCCUACGGUCUCUGUUGCAACUCCUCAGCAAUUAUCGUAGCACGAAAGCAGCUUCAGAUGGAACACCAACGAAUGGGCCGUGUUCCAAUAAAACUUUAUUGACAAAAACAGGUGGUGAGCAAAAUCUGGCCCACGGGCUGUGGUUUGCUGAUCUUUGGCUUAAAAUCACAAAGGCUUUUUUUCCCUUAUGCCACACCUGCUCGAUGCCGGCUCCAGGGACGCUGAUGAUGGAGGGUCCGUCUCCAGCCACACCUCCACCAUCCUGGAGACCAGACCCAGGGGCUGGUUCUCACACCUUCUGCUCACCGGACACCUGAAUCCUUGUGCUCGUGUUUCAUCGGCUAAGCAAGUCACGUGGCCACAGCUGACGUCAAGAGGGAUAAGGUCACUUCGACCUUUUGCCCAGAGAGCAGAGAGCUGGAACUCAUUAGUCUCCAACCUCCCAGACGAGAAGACCUCAUUUCUGGUCCCCUCCUCUGCCACCGGCUGACUCUGACUCUCGAAGUUCCUCUCACGUCUCUGCCCCUAGUUCCCCACCUGUAGAAACGAGGCAUGUUUUCUAGAUUCCUCUCAAGCCUGGGAGUGGCACCACCGUUGUGGACCCCACUUUUCCCAACAGAGGACGAUGAUUUUAUUUCCACUGCGCAUCCAUGGCGCAGAGACAGGGUGUCACUCAGGCCGGGCAGCUCACUUCAGGCCCCAGCUGCCUAGACUGAGUGCCUGAGUCCUCCCCAAACUCGUAUGCUGGAGCCCUCCCCUUCAAGGUGAUGGCAUUAGGGGUGGGGCCUUGGGGAGGUCAUCAGGGGUACAUGAGGUCAUGAGGGUGGGGCCCCCACCGUGGGAUCAGUGCCCUCAUAGAUGAGGAGGAGACAGCAGCUCACUCUCUGUGUGCAUACACCAAGAACGGUCACGUGAGGACCUAACCAGGAACAGGCCGUCCCUGAGAAUUGAACCCCAUCAGUACCUGGAUCUUGGACUUCCAGCCUCCAGAACUGCAAGAAAUAAAUAUUGGUUGUUUAACCCCC
Molecule: long non-coding RNA, 1532 nt
Filed under: Equus caballus (horse)
Lineage: Eukaryota; Metazoa; Chordata; Mammalia; Perissodactyla; Equidae
Description: lncRNA (ENSECAG00000042821.2)
Source: RNAcentral